UACGUAGGGGGCGAGCGUUGUCCGGAUUUAUUGGGCGUAAAGAGCGUGUAGGCGGCCAGGUAGGUCUGCUGUGAAAACUCGAGGCUCAACCUCGAGACGUCGGCGGAAACCAUCUGGCUAGAGUCCGGAAGAGGAGAGUGGAAUUCCACGUGUAGCGGUGAAAUGCGUAGAGAUGUGGAGGAACACCAGUGGCGAAGGCGGCUUUCUGGUCUGUAACUGACGCUGAGGCGCGAAAGCGUGGGGAGCAAACAGG
RNAcentral lists this ribosomal RNA (253 nucleotides) under uncultured bacterium. Its description in RNAcentral is "partial 16S ribosomal RNA". It matches the Rfam family "Bacterial small subunit ribosomal RNA", at positions 524 to 776 of the family's 1533-position model. The record is from RNAcentral.